AGCGAAGAGCGCUUACUCUGCUUCAGCUCUCUCACAGAUGACACCCCGAGUCCUCUGUGCUGGGUGUCUUUAUAUUUCUGGAAGUUUCCUGAGCAUAAAAGUUUUAUAGCCCACUUUCCAACUCUACCAUAAAUCACCCCUUUCUGAAGCUUCCAGAAGCCAUCAGGAAACUGAGUCGGGGUCCCCAUGGGCUUCUCCAAGAUUAAGUUUUUGAUGCCAGAGUUCAGAGAUGCCCUGUGGAUUUGUCCUCAUGGGAGCAGAGCUGUUGGGGUUCG
Molecule: long non-coding RNA, 275 nt
Organism: Mastomys coucha (southern multimammate mouse)
Lineage: Eukaryota; Metazoa; Chordata; Mammalia; Rodentia; Muridae
Exons: 3
Source: RefSeq, a predicted model, not a curated record